RNAcentral lists this long non-coding RNA (436 nucleotides) under Androctonus crassicauda. The record is from RNAcentral. Lineage: Eukaryota; Metazoa; Arthropoda; Arachnida; Scorpiones; Buthidae.
UGUUGUUCUGCGGAGGGUCAGGGGUCUUGGGCGGCCUUUUGUAUGCUGGUUUCUUGUGUUGCUUCCUUGGGAGUUCCUUCAUUGACUUGGAGUUUCCCAAAGUUUCUGGUGUUGGUUCAUGGAUGGGCGCAUCCUGCGUUGUGGGUCGUGUUGCGUGGGUGUGGUUUUCCGGUCUGCUUGUUGUUCUUCUCGAGCUCCUGAUUUGCAUUUCUUUCCAUAUUUUUUUUAGCGAUGGAUGGGUUAUAUCCAUGGUUCGCGGCAAUCUUGACAGUGUUUUGUAUUUCCUGUUGUAGGGUUUCAUCCAUACUGCAAUGUGUCUUGGCUCUUUGCAGGAGAGACCUUGUAGGGGCCUUUUUAUGUGUCCAUUUAUCGUUGGACCACUGGGGGAUGGUUGGCGUUGUUCCUGUUGGUUUUCUGUGGGCCUUCAUUGGAGGGG